GGGCGUGUGGCUCAGUUGGUAGAGCGUUCGCUUAGCAGCUUCUUUCCCUCUAAAUCCUCUCCUUGGAGAGAAUUUAUAUAAAAAGAAUUCUCCUGCGAAAGGUCCUGGGUUCGAUUCCCAGCUCGUCCA
Molecule: non-coding RNA, 129 nt
Organism: Rhypophila decipiens
Lineage: Eukaryota; Fungi; Ascomycota; Sordariomycetes; Sordariales; Naviculisporaceae
Source: the annotation of a GenBank genome assembly